RNAcentral lists this ribosomal RNA (338 nucleotides) under Deltaspidium tenue. RNAcentral describes it as "partial small subunit ribosomal RNA". Lineage: Eukaryota; Metazoa; Arthropoda; Arachnida; Opiliones; Gonyleptidae. The record is from RNAcentral.
CCCUAUUAUUAUAAAAGGUAAUUUAAUUAGUAUUAAAAUUUGAAAUUUAAUAAUUUUGGCGGUUAAUUACUUUUUAGAGGAGCUUGUGCUUUAAAUAGAGUUAGCUCUUUAUAUUUUAAUAAUAAAUAAUUUAUUCAUCUCCGUUAUUAAUUAUUAAAAUUGAAUAACAAGAAUAAUAAUUAUUGUUGAAUUUCAGGUCAAGAUGUAGUUUUUAUUUUAUGGUAUUAGCUACAGUAAUAUAAAAUUAAGUUGGAUUAUUUUUGGAGUAUUUUUAAUAUGAAAUUGAAUUUAAUUGUAAUUGUAAUCAGAAUAUUAUAAUGAAGGUUAAUAUUUAAUGU